Molecule: ribosomal RNA, 326 nt
Filed under: uncultured eukaryote
Lineage: Eukaryota
Description: partial 18S ribosomal RNA
Rfam family: Eukaryotic small subunit ribosomal RNA
Source: RNAcentral
CCCUUAGAUGUUCUGGGCCGCACGCGCGCUACACUGAUGCAUUCAACAAGCCUAGCCUUGACCGAGAGGUCCGGGUAAUCUUUGAAACUGCAUCGUGAUGGGGCUAGAUUAUUGCAAUUAUUAAUCUUCAACGAGGAAUGCCUAGUAAGCGUGAUUCAUCAAAUCGCGUUGAUUACGUCCCUGCCCUUUGUACACACCGCCCGUCGCUCCUACCGAUUGAAUGUGUUGGUGAGGAGCUCGGAUUGGCAGCAGUUGGUGGUUCGCCACCGGCUAUUGCUGAGAAGUCCUCCAAACCGCCCCAUUUAGAGGAAGGAGAANUCGUANCA